AGCCAUGUUAUAUGCACUCUAUUAUCUGUUGGAGCACAUGGGUGCUCGUUAUCCCUCCCAUCAAGUUGCCCCGGGAUUUACAGCCCAACACACAUAGGCCACUAAUAAUCUAUGUAUGCUUCUUUUAAACAGUGAAUAUGGCCCACAUCUGAAGUCCAUGAAACAUGACUAUGUGAGGCACUUUCACACCGGAUCGAAUGUCAGAGCACCAUAUGGGUCGUCCAAGACGAGAUUCUGGACUAACAGAGUCAUUUUCGAGCCGAUUUAUUAUGUCUGACUCAUGCAUGUGGCUUCCCUUCCCCUACACAACUAAAGCUCGUCCCUCACUGGCUAAAGUGAACUCCACCUAGAUCCACCAUUCCCCCGCAGUCAAUUCUUCCUCAUCAGCCAUUCCCGAAGAGAUCUUGCCGCUCAUUCCUGGCUUCGAUUGCGGAGAGCAGAUCAUCACAUAGAUUGCCCAUAGUGUGGCAAAUGUCGGCAAUCUGCCCCCGGUCACCUGCAACCACAAGAGUCCCUUUAGUAUGAAUCAGAUUCACACCAUAACCAUUUGCAACAAUCUAGUCCUCUAAUACAAGCCCAUCAUAAUUCUCAAUAGUCAUUAAAAUAUGGAAUCAAAACAGCUAACAAUCUAUCAUGUAUCCAAAAUUGACACCUAUGCUUAUCAUACAUGCCGGAGAAAAAUAGCUACAAUGUUGCUGUCAAGAUAACAUUUUGGAAGCAUUUUCUCUCAAAUAAGUAUUAAUAGAUCAGACACUGACAAAAUGAUUAUGGUAGUGUAAACCAAACAAAAUGACAUGGCCCACACACCAAUCUAUUCAGGAGUGUUACAUUAAUCCAACAAUUUGUUCAGCGCAUGGUAGCUAUAUAAGUAAUCCAGAUAUCAUUCGUGUUGACAGAAAUUAGCAAUGCUCCCAAGUACAUACAAAAUUGUCGAGAGAGAAUUUCCUAGCUUGCUGAGUUUCCAAAGACUGGACUUCUUAAUAAUGACACACCUUCAUGUCCAUGCAGGAGCUUUAGGGUCGAUCAGGCCAUAGAUUUCUUCGAUGUUGGCGACGAAUCUUCCGUUCAAGCUUCCGUUGCCCCUCCACCACACAUAUUUGCGCGUCUCCACUCACUCCCCUCAUAGGCGGCCGCUGCACGACAUGUUGAGCCACUCAUGGCUGUCUCCACUCACUCCCCUCAUAGGAAUAGUGAACCGUAAAAAUAUUUUCAGAGUAUUAGGCUUGUAUCAUGAAUUAUGUUCGCUUCUAUCAAUGCUUCAAGACGCAAAGCUUUUUGUGUUUGCUAAGAAAACUAAGCAAAUAUGAAGGUAAAAGGAAAUCAUCAAUAUAAUUCCGCAAAAACUACUACAUGGAACGGACAUGAAAUGUUGCGGAAAUUGCUGAAUCUUGCUUUUCUGGAACAACGAUAUAGAGUGUUCACUACUGACUUGCACAUACUUUGCAAUCAGAAAAAAUCUUCAUCAAGUAUGUAGACGCGGUGAAAGGGAAUACAACAUACAAAAUCUAGAUACAGAAUUCAAGAUAAUAAAGCUAGAUGGAGCUAACACGACACAAUAUGCUUCAUCGUUUAGCGGGUACUCCCAUGCAUAUACUAAAUCAUAUAGACAUACACUUCAACCAUCAGAACUAUGCCAGAACUGGAACUGGUUUGUUCUUACAUGUCAUUUCCAGUGAGAAAAGGGGGAUGCUAUACAUUCCAAGUCGCAAAAAUUGUCUUAAAAUUAUAAGAAGCAAACUAAAAAUUAUAAAUAAUCAGAAGAAGUGCUCCCGCUGAGCGAAAACACAUUGCAUCUGAACAAUGCAAAGCAACUGCAGCACAUAAGCUAGCACCUUAUUCAUGCUUUAAAGGUGUACAGUUUGACCACCUACUCGUAGCUACUAUACACAUUCACAAGACAUUAGGCCUUUCAUGUAAUAUUUUUCUAGGCAAGAAAACAUUGCUAUAUGACGUAACUCGUAGUAGUAGGUAAAUUCACAAACUGUGUAUGUUGUAUCAAUGACUCUGCUGUAAUCAAACUUUGAAGCUACAAUCAGAUAAAGGAAUAAUAUGAACUUCAGUUAACUGAUGUAAAAUAACAAAAAGAGGCAUGUCUAAAGAACACAAUGGAAGAAUAGAAAAAUGCAUCUAGAAGAUUACACAUGAUCUAAUCAUAUACCUUGCCACCCAAAAUUUUGCCUUUAUCGUAUCAAUGAGUUUGCUGUAAAUGAGGAAGUAGUAAUUUUUGCACGUACUCUAGGUGUUUUGUCAUCGGUUGAACGACAAGCUUCUUCAUUUUUGGAAACUACACGAACAAGACAAAACAUUUGUUCACAGUAAGUUAGUAACCCUAAAGGAUCUACCUACUCGGAGAAAUUCAUAAGAACAAACUGCAUAUACAGUAAAACACAACGAGCUCUGAAUCAAAGUAUAACUAUUUGAAAAUCUUUGGAGAAGAUCAAACAAUACAUCAUUGCAUCACUACUCGGGGUCACUAACGGAGGCGCCAAUUCCUUCGAGCUGGGGAAAGGGGAAUUGAAGGUGCUCAGCAGAA
This 2533-nucleotide long non-coding RNA is filed under the name Triticum aestivum (bread wheat). RNAcentral's name for it is "long non-coding RNA (TAES_LNC007942)". The record is from RNAcentral. Lineage: Eukaryota; Viridiplantae; Streptophyta; Magnoliopsida; Poales; Poaceae.